AUUGAGAAAAAAAAUAUUGAAAAUUAACAAGUCCAUGAUUAUGACAGAGAAAAAAAACAAAAUUCAAUGAACCUGUUAAACAACCGACGGUAAAUAUUAACACAAAGGCAAAGAGAGAAAUCUAUCAGAUCACUAUUAAGCAAAUGAACAUGAAUUUUAAUUAGACAACUUCAACCUAGAUAUGCUAUCUAAACAUCAGCAUGUUACAAGACAAAUUAAUAUAUCAUGACAAACUAUAUCAUGCUCGAAUUCUCAAACUAAUCAAACUCAUUCACAUCAAAGAGUUAAAAUGACCAUAAAGUUGAUUAAAACUUACUUGGACGGAUCUGCCAAGAUCCGUCUUAACAAGCUCAAAAGAUUUGAAGUAUUUGCCUAAAUUUGCUGUUAAUCCUCAUCGGAAAAGAAGAAAGAGGCACCGGAGAUAGAGAAGAUUUCUUCGUAGCUGUUGCAUGGAGUUGUUGACCGGAGCCUUCGCUGGAGCUACUUUUGUCUCGCUACUCCCUGGAGUCGAAGCUUCUGGUUUUGUUGUUGUCAUUGGCUGCUAUUAGCUCAAAGGAAAAAUGGGCGAAUGGAGGGAGAUGAAGCAGUGUCGACUGCUGGGUGUUCUCGCUAGUGGCUAUUGCCUUUGCGAGGAAUCUUUUCGGUGGAUUGCUUGGAGAAAGGAGGAGAGGAAGAGAGAAAAUGAGAGGGAGAGAGACCUCACCGGUGAUUGGGUUUGACCGGUGGCUUGCUGCUUCGACGUCUUUGUCGGAUGCCGGUGGAGAGAAGAGAGACGAGAAACAACGGCUAGAGAGAGAGGAGGGGAAGAGAAUGAAGAAACUUUAGGGUUCCUGCUGUUAUAGAACUAAAAAAGGAAAGAAAAUGAUUCAAGAU
This 873-nucleotide unclassified non-coding RNA is filed under the name Hevea brasiliensis (rubber tree). The record is from RNAcentral. Lineage: Eukaryota; Viridiplantae; Streptophyta; Magnoliopsida; Malpighiales; Euphorbiaceae.